GUGGGGAAUAUUGGGCAAUGGGCGCAAGCCUGACCUAACAACGCCGCGUGAGGGAAGAAGGCUUUCGGGUUGUAAACCUCUGUCCUUGGUGACGAAACAAAUGACGGUAGCCAAGGAGGAAGCCCCGGCUAACUACGUGCCAGCAGCCGCGGUAAUACGUAGGGGGCGAGCGUUGUCCGGAAUUACUGGGCGUAAAGGGUGCGUAGGUGGCCUUUUAAGUUGGAUGUGAAAUACCCGGGCUUAACUUGGGGGGUGCAUCCAAAACUGGGAGGCUAGAGUGCAGGAGAGGAAAGCGGAAUUCCUAGUGUAGCGGUGAAAUGCGUAGAUAUUAGGAGGAACACCAGUGGCGAAGGCGGCUACCUGGACCGAUAUUGACGCUGAGGCGCGAAAGCCAGGGGAGCGAACGGGAUUAGAUACCCCAGUAGUCC
Molecule: ribosomal RNA, 428 nt
Filed under: uncultured bacterium
Lineage: Bacteria
Description: partial 16S ribosomal RNA
Rfam family: Bacterial small subunit ribosomal RNA
Source: RNAcentral